CCUACGCGAGGCAGCUGUGAGGAAUAUUGGUCAAUGGGCGGAAGCCUGAACCAGCCAAGUAGCGUGCAGGAUGACGGCCCUACGGGUUGUAAACUGCUUUUAUACGGGAAUAACGCGCCUUACGUGUAGGGCUUUGCAUGUACCGUAUGAAUAAGGACCGGCUAAUUCCGUGCCAGCAGCCGCGGUAAUACGGAAGGUCCGGGCGUUAUCCGGAUUUAUUGGGUUUAAAGGGAGCGUAGGCCGCAUGUCUAGCGUGCUGGGAAAUGUCCUGGCUAAACCCGGGCCUUGCAGCGCGAACUGGCGUGCGUGAGUCGGGGGAAGGCAGGGGGAAUUGGUCGUGUAGCGUUG
RNAcentral lists this ribosomal RNA (348 nucleotides) under uncultured bacterium. RNAcentral's name for it is "partial 16S ribosomal RNA". It matches the Rfam family "Bacterial small subunit ribosomal RNA", at positions 338 to 683 of the family's 1533-position model. The record is from RNAcentral.